UACGUAGGGGGCAAGCGUUAUCCGGAUUUACUGGGUGUAAAGGGAGCGCAGACGGCAGUGCAAGUCUGGAGUGAAAGCCCGGGGCCCAACCCCGGAACUGCUCUGGAAACUGUGCGGCUAGAGUACUGGAGGGGCAGGCGGAAUUCCUAGUGUAGCGGUGAAAUGCGUAGAUAUUAGGAGGAACACCAGUGGCGAAGGCGGCCUGCUGGACGAUGACUGACGUUGAGGCUCGAAAGCGUGGGGAGCAAACAGG
Molecule: ribosomal RNA, 253 nt
Filed under: uncultured bacterium
Lineage: Bacteria
Description: partial 16S ribosomal RNA
Rfam family: Bacterial small subunit ribosomal RNA
Source: RNAcentral